UAGAUGUAAGAUAACUCCUGCCCAGUGACAUAGUUCAACGGCCGCGGUAUCCUAACCGUGCAAAGGUAGCAUAAUCACUUGCCUAUUAAUUGUAGGCUAGAAUGAAAGGGUAAACGAAAUAAAAACUGUCUCAGCUAGUAAUCUAAAAAUUAAUCUCCAUAUGAAGAAAUAUGGAUACCUUCGAAGGACAAGAAGACCCUAUAGAGCUUUAUCUAGACACAGCACAUAGCUGAACAAGAUUCGGUUGGGGCGACCAUGGGACCAUAAAACACCCAAAAUAUCACAGAUACCUAUAUCAGAACUAUGACCCUAGUAAGAUCACAAAAUCAAGCUACCUUAGGGAUAACAGGCUAAUCCUGCUAAAGAGUCCAUAUCUAUAGUGGGGGUUGGCACCUCGAUGUUGGCUUAGGGUAUCACCAUAGCGCAAAAGCUGUAUAAAGAUGGUUUGUUCAACCAAUAUCC
This 462-nucleotide ribosomal RNA is filed under the name Terrisswalkerius phalacrus. RNAcentral describes it as "partial 16S ribosomal RNA". It matches the Rfam family "Bacterial large subunit ribosomal RNA", at positions 1842 to 2595 of the family's 2925-position model. The record is from RNAcentral. Lineage: Eukaryota; Metazoa; Annelida; Clitellata; Crassiclitellata; Megascolecidae.